ACAAUGAAGAGUUUGAUCCUGGCUCAGGAUGAACGCUAGCUACAGGCUUAACACAUGCAAGUCGAGGGGCAUCAGGAAGAAAGCUUGCUUUCUUUGCUGGCGACCGGCGCACGGGUGAGUAACACGUAUCCAACCUGCCCUUUACUCGGGGAUAGCCUUUCGAAAGAAAGAUUAAUACCCGAUAGUAUAAUGAUUCCGCAUGGUUUCAUUAUUAAAGGAUUCCGGUAAAGGAUGGGGAUGCGUUCCAUUAGGUUGUUGGUGAGGUAACGGCUCACCAAGCCUUCGAUGGAUAGGGGUUCUGAGAGGAAGGUCCCCCACAUUGGAACUGAGACACGGUCCAAACUCCUACGGGAGGCAGCAGUGAGGAAUAUUGGUCAAUGGGCGCUAGCCUGAACCAGCCAAGUAGCGUGAAGGAUGAAGGCUCUAUGGGUCGUAAACUUCUUUUAUAUAAGAAUAAAGUGCAGUAUGUAUACUGUUUUGUAUGUAUUAUAUGAAUAAGGAUCGGCUAACUCCGUGCCAGCAGCCGCGGUAAUACGGAGGAUCCGAGCGUUAUCCGGAUUUAUUGGGUUUAAAGGGAGCGUAGGUGGACUGGUAAGUCAGUUGUGAAAGUUUGCGGCUCAACCGUAAAAUUGCAGUUGAUACUGUCAGUCUUGAGUACAGUAGAGGUGGGCGGAAUUCGUGGUGUAGCGGUGAAAUGCUUAGAUAUCACGAAGAACUCCGAUUGCGAAGGCAGCUCACUGGACUGCAACUGACACUGAUGCUCGAAAGUGUGGGUAUCAAACAGGAUUAGAUACCCUGGUAGUCCACACAGUAAACGAUGAAUACUCGCUGUUUGCGAUAUACAGUAAGCGGCCAAGCGAAAGCAUUAAGUAUUCCACCUGGGGAGUACGCCGGCAACGGUGAAACUCAAAGGAAUUGACGGGGGCCCGCACAAGCGGAGGAACAUGUGGUUUAAUUCGAUGAUACGCGAGGAACCUUACCCGGGCUUAAAUUGCAGUGGAAUGAUGUGGAAACAUGUCAGUGAGCAAUCACCGCUGUGAAGGUGCUGCAUGGUUGUCGUCAGCUCGUGCCGUGAGGUGUCGGCUUAAGUGCCAUAACGAGCGCAACCCUUAUCUUUAGUUACUAACAGGUCAUGCUGAGGACUCUGGAGAGACUGCCGUCGUAAGAUGUGAGGAAGGUGGGGAUGACGUCAAAUCAGCACGGCCCUUACGUCCGGGGCUACACACGUGUUACAAUGGGGGGUACAGAAGGCAGCUAGCGGGUGACCGUAUGCUAAUCCCAAAAGCCUCUCUCAGUUCGGAUCGAAGUCUGCAACCCGACUUCGUGAAGCUGGAUUCGCUAGUAAUCGCGCAUCAGCCACGGCGCGGUGAAUACGUUCCCGGGCCUUGUACACACCGCCCGUCAAGCCAUGGGAGCCGGGGGUACCUGAAGUACGUAACCGCAAGGAUCGUCCUAGGGUAAAACUGGUGACUGGGGCUAAGUCGUAACAAGGUAGCCGUACCGGAAGGUGCGGCUGGAACACCUCCUUU
This 1529-nucleotide ribosomal RNA is filed under the name Bacteroides fragilis. Its description in RNAcentral is "bacterial SSU rRNA". It matches the Rfam family "Bacterial small subunit ribosomal RNA". Lineage: Bacteria; Pseudomonadati; Bacteroidota; Bacteroidia; Bacteroidales; Bacteroidaceae. The record is from RNAcentral.